UCCUAGGCAGAGGCCUGGUCUCCAAGAUGGUGCUUCCACUCCUACUGGCCUCCCAGGGUCAAGGAGAAAGCAGCCAAUUUGUUACAUUUUAAUUACAACACUAGGGAACUGCUCAUUUAGAAUCCCACUUAAAAUGGAAUCUGCCUUCCCCAACUAACAGAGAAGUACUUAAAGAGCAGUUAAGUGUUACUAGAUGCUUCAGAGCAGCAAACGUAAAGUAUCUAUGAACUACCAGAGUCAGUCUGCAGGACAAAAGCUGGGUUCUCCAGCAAAGAGAGGAGGUCUGCCCUCCACCUGCCUCCAGGGCCCUGAAGCUGGCAGUACUUGAACUCAAUCUUCUCAGAUCAGCUCUGCUGGUUGACAGCACAGACUUCAGAGCUACUCACCGACUGUGAGUAUGGCAAACUGCUCAUCUUCUCCAACCUCAACUUCCUCAUCUGUAAAAUGGGGGGCUGGUUCUCUAAUCUCACAGGUUUGCCCAGAAUGAAACAUAUAGUAGAUGAGAAGCCCUAGACAGGACUUUCCCACCUAAAUAAACUCCCCUAGGGAAAAGGCAUUCACUUGCCUAAACCGAGCACCAAGCACUCAGGACACCCUUGAUAUUUCCCCAGUUUUUGACACACCUCCCAGGACCCCAGGCUGUUUCUCAAACAAAGUCCCAACACUGAGACUAACUAGACAAAAGCAAGACGGUAAGCAUUCACCGCGAAAACCACCCAAAAGGCUGCAAGCAAAUCAGGUUAAACAAGGAUCCAUAGCCCUUUUCUGUUGGAUGGGUUCGUUCUGUACAUAAAGGCAACAUUUCCUUAACAGCAAGAAACAUUUUUGGCUACUCUUUAAAAGGAAACAAAAAAACUAACUUCAAACAGUACAGUAACUUCCCAAACCCAAGCAUACUUUCACAGUAUAUAAACCAAACCAGUUAAUUCUGUGAUUUAGGAGCAAAUGCACGCCAUGAUCGUGAGCCCAGCUAAUCAUUCCCUUCCCUGCCUCCUACUCGUGAAACUACCAGUUCUAAUCUCUGUUCCACUGGUACAAAGCGAUCUUAAAAACAAAACUCUUCCUCCAGCGAAGCGCUGAUGUUGAGGGUCCCAUCAACGGCAAGCAGAGCUCUCUAGAGGUGCAAAAAUAUUCAGACUGGUUUUGGUUUUUAAACAUCAAUCCCCCCUUACCUCCCCCCGCCCCCCACCAGCAGCCAGCGAUUGUAAUUCAAGACUUUCAACUCUCUCUCUGCCGGGCCUUAUAUCCUCGGCUGGAGAGCGCCACAGGUUUGUGUGCAGAUCCGUGACCCCGGAAACGCACGUCCCUCAGUGGAGGGAAGCUCCUGUCAAGCCCGCCUCGGCUCCCCGACCGCGCCGCGAGCUCAUGCUGUAAGGGAUGCCCCCCACUUUCACAAGGGAAAGCGACGGGAGCCCUAAGAAGGAAGGCCAGGACAACGCCGAGACCGGGCCAGAAAGAUGGAAUCACAUGGCAGUGCCCAAUCACAGGAGGCAGCAUCCAGGAGCUGAGAAUGGCCCCCUGAUGACAGCCAGCACAAAAGCAGGGACCUUGGACCUUCAAUAGGAGCUGGAUAACACCACAAUGAGUUUGCAGGAGAUCACCAACCCUCAGAUGAGGACUAGAGAAUGCAACCCCAGACUUUUGAGGUUGCGAGCAAAGGAGCCCACUAAGCCUGGGCUCCUGAUGCACAGAACCUGUGAUAAUAAAUGUGUCUUGUUUAAAGCUG
This is a long non-coding RNA of Pteropus alecto (black flying fox), 1726 nucleotides long. RefSeq lists it as uncharacterized. The transcript has 2 exons. The record is from RefSeq and is a predicted model, not a curated record. Lineage: Eukaryota; Metazoa; Chordata; Mammalia; Chiroptera; Pteropodidae.